RNAcentral lists this long non-coding RNA (804 nucleotides) under Pan troglodytes (chimpanzee). RNAcentral describes it as "lincRNA". Lineage: Eukaryota; Metazoa; Chordata; Mammalia; Primates; Hominidae. The record is from RNAcentral.
UGCUUGCGUACUGCCAUGGAUAGCGCAUGUGUUGGCUUUGUCCAGCUUUGGGCUUUUUCCCACAUUGAUUUUAAAAAGACAGAGGAGCCACAGAUUUUGGAGUACUGCAAAAUGACUUUCCAAAUUGAUGAACCAUGGACUCUAAGCUGGAUAGACAGAGAAAUGAAAAGAAGGGACUAAUAGGGAAUAAGACGUGUGAUCCAUGGCCCGAUGGCCCUGAUGGACGUGAAGAUCCACUGUUGUGGAAGGAGUGGAACACUAACACUGAAUGAUGGAGGCUGUGGUCAGAAACAGGGAUUAGCAACCCACUCUCCACCAAAUUUCAAAUCACUAGGGGCAUUAUGCUAUGUCCCAGGAGUGGCCAAGGCUUCAAGGACCAAUGAUAGACCUGCCGCUCUAACCUAGGCCUGCUGAGGAGUACGAUUCAACCUGUGUUUCUGUGUGGUUCAGCAAUCUUGCUGAGCUCCUCUAAGUCAGUCCAUCCUGCCACAGCUGGGAAGAAUCAAGAAACUCUCCAAGAAGACGUUUAUCGGUUGAUAAAAAUCUGUUUAUCUGCCUGUUGCCAAUGAGAAGACAGGUCUGCUGACCAUGGCAGGCGUGGCAGCACGUGACACCGUGUUUGCUGCUCACUGCGUGUUCCACCUGAACUUUCCCGUCCGGUCAAUGAGUCUUGACAGUGGGGUGAAGGGGACUCACUCUCAAAGACCAAGGCUGACCUGCUUUGAGUACAAUGCCUUGACCUAGUUACUGUCACUGUGUUUUUGUCUUCAGGAACUAAAACGUACAAUAAAAAUUUGUUCAUUU